AUUCAGUUCUUCUAUCAUGAGUUCCAACAAGAUGGAGGUUAUGAAAAACUCAUCAAACUCCUUCGUAUCAUAUGUAAGAUUUAUUCGAUUCAAGUUCAUUUGUGAAAUCUCAUUGAAACUUCUUUUCAUGAUUCACUCUGUCCUGGUCAGAGUCUUCUGAACUCAGUCUCAUAAAUCACAUAGGACUUCUCCUUAUCUACUAAGAUCGAUAGAUCUCAUCUAGGUAUAUAUCAUAUUCCUACAACGAACUUACUGUAGUCAACAUACACCACAA
This 274-nucleotide long non-coding RNA is filed under the name Elaeis guineensis (African oil palm). RNAcentral describes it as "long non-coding RNA (EGUI_LNC023095)". Lineage: Eukaryota; Viridiplantae; Streptophyta; Magnoliopsida; Arecales; Arecaceae. The record is from RNAcentral.